CGGCGAGUCUCGAGAGAGUUUCGAGUCCUCGGCGUACACGGACGAACGCUGGCGGCGCGCCUAACACAUGCAAGUCGAACGGGACGUAUGCGAGAUGAAGUUUUCGGAUGGAAUUUGUAUAGUUUAGUGGCGGACGGGUGAGUAACACGUGAGCAACCUGCCUUCGAGAGGGGAUAACGGCUGAAACGGUCGCUAAUACCGCAUAACAUACGGAGGGACAUCCCUUUUGUAUCAAAGAUUUAUCGCUCGAAGAUGGGCUCGCGUCCGAUUAGGUAGUUGGUGAGGUAACGGCCCACCAAGCCGACGAUCGGUAGCCGGACUGAGAGGUUGAACGGCCACAUUGGGACUGAGACACGGCCCAGACUCUACGGGAGGCAGCAGUGGGGGAUAUUGCACAAUGGGGGAAACCCUGAUGCAGCGACGCCGCGUGUAGGAAGACGGUCCUCUGGAUUGUAAACUACUGUCCCCAGGGGCGAAGAUGACGGUACCUGGGGAGGAAGCUCCGGCUAACUACGUG
Molecule: ribosomal RNA, 517 nt
Filed under: uncultured Oscillospiraceae bacterium
Lineage: Bacteria; Bacillati; Bacillota; Clostridia; Eubacteriales; Oscillospiraceae
Description: bacterial SSU rRNA
Rfam family: Bacterial small subunit ribosomal RNA
Source: RNAcentral